Molecule: ribosomal RNA, 436 nt
Filed under: uncultured bacterium
Lineage: Bacteria
Description: bacterial SSU rRNA
Rfam family: Bacterial small subunit ribosomal RNA
Source: RNAcentral
GCAAAACGCGAAGAACCUUACCUAGGCUUGACAUGCACUGGACCGACUGUGAAAGCAGUCUUCCCUUCGGGGCCGGUGCACAGGUGCUGCAUGGCUGUCGUCAGCUCGUGUCGUGAGAUGUUCGGUUAAGUCCGGCAACGAGCGCAACCCUCGUCCUUAUUUGCCAGCGGGUAAUGCCGGGAACCAUAAGGAGACAAACCUCUAUUCGAGGUGGGAAGGUGGGGAUGAUGUCAAGUCAGUAUGGCCCUUACGCCUAGGGCUACACACGUGCUACAAUGCCUGGUAUAGUGAGACGCAAUACCGCGAGGUGGAGCAAAUCUUCAAAGCCAGGCCCAGUUCGGAUUGGAGUCUGCAACUCGACUCCAUGAAGCCGGAAUCGCUAGUAACGGCGUAUCAGCAACGACGCCGUGAAUACGUUCCCCCGGGUCUUGUACAC